This 67-nucleotide small RNA is filed under the name Sporosarcina sp. HYO08. RNAcentral's name for it is "Bacillaceae-1 RNA". It matches the Rfam family "Bacillaceae-1 RNA". The record is from Rfam by way of RNAcentral. Lineage: Bacteria; Bacillati; Bacillota; Bacilli; Caryophanales; Caryophanaceae.
AGUUAAGGAAGGCAACCUAAGUUCGCCGCGUCCUGCGGCAACGGUUGCAUGACCAACAUCCUGUUGG